Molecule: ribosomal RNA, 706 nt
Filed under: Hygrophorus eburneus
Lineage: Eukaryota; Fungi; Basidiomycota; Agaricomycetes; Agaricales; Hygrophoraceae
Description: eukaryotic LSU rRNA
Rfam family: Eukaryotic large subunit ribosomal RNA
Source: RNAcentral
UAAGCGGAGGAAAAGAAACUAACAAGGAUUCCCCUAGUAACUGCGAGUGAAGCGGGAAAAGCUCAAAUUUAAAAUCUGGCAGUCUUUGAUUGUCCGAGUUGUAAUCUAGAGAAGUGCUUUCCGCGUUGGACCGUGUACAAGUCUCUUGGAACAGAGCGUCAUAGAGGGUGAGAAUCCCGUCUUUGACACGGACUACCAGUGCUUUUGUGAUGCGCUCUCAAAGAGUCGAGUUGUUUGGGAAUGCAGCUCAAAAUGGGUGGUAAAUUCCAUCUAAAGCUAAAUAUUGGCGAGAGACCGAUAGCGAACAAGUACCGUGAGGGAAAGAUGAAAAGAACUUUGGAAAGAGAGUUAAACAGUACGUGAAAUUGUUGAAAGGGAAACGCUUGAAGUCAGUCACGUUGACUGGGAAUCAACCCUUCUUUUUUGAAGGGUGUACUUCCUGGUUUAACGGGUCAGCAUCAAUUUUGAUUGUUGGAUAAAAGUCAAUAUUUAUGCRUCUUCGGAUGUAUAGCCUUUGGUUGCAUACAACAGUUGGGAUUGAGGAACUCAGCACGCCGCAAGGCCGGGUCUCUAAGACCACGUACGUGCUUAGGAUGCUGGCAUAAUGGCUUUAAUCGACCCGUCUUGAAACACGGACCAAGGAGUCUAACAUGCCUGCGAGUGUUUGGGUGGUAAACCCGAGCGCGUAAUGAAAGUGAAAAGUUGA